Non-coding RNA from Phoenix dactylifera (date palm), 452 nucleotides. The record is from RefSeq and is a predicted model, not a curated record. NCBI's taxonomy places the organism in Eukaryota, Viridiplantae, Streptophyta, Magnoliopsida, Arecales, Arecaceae.
GAAAUCCUACUUGCCUUCAAUCAUAACUAGCAACUGACUUCUUCAUAGGAAACAAGCUUUCUUCUACCGAAGGCCGGUCACCAAAUUCCAUUUGCAAUGCAUGCCUGGAGGCUUCAAGAAAAGCUGAGAAAGCCUUGGGUGAUCCAGAAUUGUUUGGUGUCUACAAAAGUCAGAGGCAUAUAUCCAUCAAACAACGCUGUCUUUGCAAGAUCUUUUCCAUGAAGAAAAUCUCUGCAACAGCACAGGAUUAUGUUUGGACGAGUCCCUGCUUUGUCGCAUUUCAUUAAACAAGUUUUCUUCUGAGAUGAAGAUAAUGGAGACUCUUAUUGAGAACUGCAAAGAAGCAGAUGAGAAUGAAGAGCAAAAACCCAGUGACCGGUGCCGUCUGAUGAAUCUCUGUGAUGAGGGGAUAUCUCUGUGAAAUGCCUGUCCGGUUAGCUAAGUGGUAGCUU